RNAcentral lists this non-coding RNA (115 nucleotides) under uncultured Acetatifactor sp. RNAcentral describes it as "FMN riboswitch (RFN element)". It matches the Rfam family "FMN riboswitch aptamer (RFN element)". From Rfam's summary of the family: The RFN element is a highly conserved domain that is found frequently in the 5'-untranslated regions of prokaryotic mRNAs that encode for flavin mononucleotide (FMN) biosynthesis and transport proteins. Lineage: Bacteria; Bacillati; Bacillota; Clostridia; Lachnospirales; Lachnospiraceae. The record is from RNAcentral.
CUUCAGGGCGGGGUGUGAUUCCCCACCGGCGGUGACAGUCCGCGAGGAAUUGUCUUUGACAUGACCUGACCCGGUGAAAUUCCGGGACCGACAGUAUAGUCUGGAUGAGAGAAGU